GGGUAUUGUAAGUGGCAG
RNAcentral lists this small nuclear RNA (18 nucleotides) under Arabidopsis thaliana (thale cress). RNAcentral describes it as "snRNA_11990". The record is from RNAcentral. Lineage: Eukaryota; Viridiplantae; Streptophyta; Magnoliopsida; Brassicales; Brassicaceae.